GGUGAAAGACACAGCAUUUCAUCAAUUCUCAUGUAUUUUCUUCACAAGGCCAACUAUUAAUGACCACAUUUGGUGCAGGAAUGACUGUGACUUAAUAUAGUCAAACAGUGUCUCAGCUUCAUGCAAUAUUUAAGGAAAUUUACUUUAAACUUUUAUAUACAAACAUAA
This is a long non-coding RNA of Labrus mixtus (cuckoo wrasse), 168 nucleotides long. RefSeq lists it as uncharacterized. Lineage: Eukaryota; Metazoa; Chordata; Actinopteri; Labriformes; Labridae. The transcript has 2 exons. The record is from RefSeq and is a predicted model, not a curated record.